UGGAGGGCGGGAGGUUUUUUGUUCUUCUCGUAUUUGUUUUUAAUCCCGAAAACAAAUAAAACCUGUCAGAACACCUUCCGCCGCUAGGCAUUACGGGAGAUGUAGUUCUCCGGGUCUUCUUCCCCAAUUUCACCUUCGCGGUGAGGGGGAGGAGAGGCUUUUGAGGCUGACGGUUGCUUGUCACGGACACUGCCCACGCGAGUCUGCUUCUUUGUCCACAGGCGCGGCAGUAGUUUUUUACCCGUCUUCGCCAUCCUCCUCCUCCUCACUUCUCUCCCUUUCCCCACGUGCCCCCCUCCCCCAAAGGCCCUCAUGUGCAUCCCUUAGCCUGGGCUGUGGACCCCGAAAGGGAGGGAAUGUGGGGCCACAGUUUAGGGAAAGACUGACGUCACCCUAUAGGCAAGGCAAGAUGAAAGGACCGGGUGUUUUGAAGAAUCCAUUCUUACGCUCAGGUCAAAGGUCACCUUCUACAUGAGACCUGUGUAGAGAGUCUAUCACUUCCUACUACCAUUUCAUCAACAGCUUCCCCAGGCUCCUUUCAGAUGGAUAUUUCUCUGCCUGGGGCUUUCCCCUUUGGAGCACUUUCCAGAGUUUUGCUGAGGCUUUGGGGAGACUUGGCUGCCACAGAACACUGAGGCACGUGGUGAUUUUCCAAGGCAGUUUUCACUGGAUCCACUCCCUGUACUGAGUCACUUGGGCGUCUUGGUGUUGGUGUUUUGCCUGCUCUAGCACCUGGGAUUCAGGAUCUCCCCCUUAUAUACUGAGUGGAGCUUUCCACUAGCUUGCUGGGAUGCCUUCAGUUCUGUAUGGUCUCCCUUCCCCCAGGGCAAGAGGGGUCUUUUCUGUUAAUCCCUGAAGCUACCUGGACUACUGGACUGCUGCACCCUGUCUUUCUUCUGGUUCAGCUGUUCCAGGGUUUUUCCUUGGGCAAUAUUUUCUGGGCUUUCAGAGCUUAAUAAAGGACAGGACAGUAAGAGUGACUUACUUCUUACUCUGCCAUCUUGGCUCCCAGAAACCGAACCUCCAAGAAAUUGUUAAAGAUCUAUCAGCUAUUAUUACAAAUUUGUUAAGAAAUAUGUUUUUUGUUUGUUUUUUUGCCAAACUGCUAAAUCAACUUCUGCACAUGUAGAGACUCAGAAACAGAAUAGUUGGUAUAUGUCAAAUUGCUUUAAAACCUACAAGACCAUUUGAAGAUUUUUGAAAGUUAUGUCAACUCAGUGACCCAUUGUUCACAGCCUGUCAGUCAGUAUUGGGGGAGGCAUCUCCCAGUCCCCUCAUAUUUGUUAUGUAAUCAAGUCUUCCCUUACCUGUGACCUUUGUACCUGUUAAAAUAAAAACCCCUGUGAACUGCUGUGGUGGAAGAAGCCCCAGGUCCAAAAGGGGGACCUGGAAUGAGCCAGAGUCUGAUCACAGUUUACCAAGAUUAUGAUUGCAUUUACUACCUGAGAAGAAAAGCUUGCAAGCUGGAGCAGUGAGACUGUUCUCAGCUGCUCAAAGGGGAGUGGGAAAAGGAAGAGGACCAGUGACAUCAGGGAGGUGAUGCCAUGACAUACAAGUGAGGUGGAUUUACGUGAGGGAGGAUUGUAAAGUCACCAGACUCACUUUCUCCUCCAGAACCAUCUGGGUCUAGUGGGGAGAUAUAGAUCAGGAUGAAUGGAAAUGGCCCUCUGUUAAUAUUUGGUGUGUUUCUUAUAAACAACACAUUGUUGGCUUCUGGUUUUUAAUCCAUUCUGUUCUCUGCUUCCAUUUAUGGCCUUUUAUCCUACGUAUUUGUGAUGUUCAGCAGUUCCUCUGGAGUCACUCUAUCUUCUAUCAGUAUUUAUCCCAGAAAUAUCACAGCACUUGGAGUUCAGUGACUUGCCCAGGGUCACACAGCUAG
Phascolarctos cinereus (koala) is the source of this 1879-nucleotide non-coding RNA. NCBI's taxonomy places the organism in Eukaryota, Metazoa, Chordata, Mammalia, Diprotodontia, Phascolarctidae. The record is from RefSeq and is a predicted model, not a curated record.